Molecule: long non-coding RNA, 365 nt
Filed under: Elaeis guineensis (African oil palm)
Lineage: Eukaryota; Viridiplantae; Streptophyta; Magnoliopsida; Arecales; Arecaceae
Description: long non-coding RNA (EGUI_LNC039961)
Source: RNAcentral
CUAUCCUGGUGCACGACCCAAUUAUCUAUCUACAAUAAAUAAAUAAUAAUACUAAAUUAAUUAAAAUAUAUAUAUGAUUAAUUCAAUAUGAAAUUAAUUUAAGUAUAGAGUUUUUAUCAAUCUAUCAGCAAUAACAUGUGUGCCAACGGAACCUCCAGUGUGCUUGAUUGGAUGCUGCUGGGUGGAUUGAUUUUAUCAUACCCUGUACUAUCAAUCAGAGUACUCCUCAGUACUCCAUUGAUCGUAGAGGACCUCUCAUAUGUCUACUCGUAUUCAAUGAUCUGUGUAAGACUUUCAGUCCGAUAGUGACUCAGAACUGGAGUACUCUAUGGUGGAUUACCGAAGGCUAUAUAGCCCAUCCCAGA